GAGAUCCCUGCCUCUAGUUGCUACUAUUACUCUCAGGAGUAGUGGGGCUAAUUAGAGGGACCGCCGCCGCUGAGGCGGAGGAAGGAGGGGGCUACGGCAGGUCAGUAUGCCCCGAAACCCUCGGGCCACACGCGGGCUGCAAUGGUAAGGACAAUGGGUUCCGAUCCCGAAAGGGGGAGGCAAUCCCCAAACCUUACCUCAGUUAUGAUUGAGGGCUGAAACUCGCCCUCAUGAAUAUGGAAUCCCUAGUAAUCGCGUGUCAUAAUCGCGCGGUGAAUAC
This 280-nucleotide ribosomal RNA is filed under the name uncultured archaeon. RNAcentral's name for it is "partial 16S ribosomal RNA". It matches the Rfam family "Archaeal small subunit ribosomal RNA", at positions 1047 to 1325 of the family's 1478-position model. The record is from RNAcentral.